This 72-nucleotide transfer RNA is filed under the name Trichobilharzia regenti. It matches the Rfam family "tRNA". From Rfam's summary of the family: Transfer RNA (tRNA) molecules are approximately 80 nucleotides in length. Their secondary structure includes four short double-helical elements and three loops (D, anti-codon, and T loops). Further hydrogen bonds mediate the characteristic L-shaped molecular structure. tRNAs have two regions of fundamental functional importance: the anti-codon, which is responsible for specific mRNA codon recognition, and the 3' end, to which the tRNAs corresponding amino acid is attached (by aminoacyl-tRNA synthetases). tRNAs cope with the degeneracy of the genetic code in two manners: having more than one tRNA (with a specific anti-codon) for a particular amino acid; and 'wobble' base-pairing, i.e. permitting non-standard base-pairing at the 3rd anti-codon position. Lineage: Eukaryota; Metazoa; Platyhelminthes; Trematoda; Strigeidida; Schistosomatidae. The record is from Rfam by way of RNAcentral.
GAUCUCGUGGCUCAGCAGUAGCGCGUCUGACCCCAGAUCAGAAGUCUGUGUGUUCCAAUCACGUCGAACUCA